UGUAGCUCAGUGGCAGAGCACUUGCCUAGCAUGUAUGAGGCACUGGGUUUGAUUCUCAGCA
Molecule: transfer RNA, 61 nt
Filed under: Marmota marmota marmota (Alpine marmot)
Lineage: Eukaryota; Metazoa; Chordata; Mammalia; Rodentia; Sciuridae
Also listed under: 3 other names
Rfam family: tRNA
About the family: Transfer RNA (tRNA) molecules are approximately 80 nucleotides in length.
Source: Rfam by way of RNAcentral